GAUGAAGAACGUAGCGAAAUGCGAUAAGUAAUGUGAAUUGCAGAAUUCAGUGAAUCAUCGAAUCUUUGAACGCACCUUGCGCUCCUUGGAAUUCCUUGGAGCAUGCCUGUUUGUGUAUCAUGAAAUUCUCAAAACAAACCUUUUGUUAAUUCAUUGGGUUCUGUUUUGGACUUGGAGGCCUUGCGGAUUCACGUCUGCUCCUCUUAAAAGCAUUAGCUGGAUCUCAGUGAGCUCGGUUCCACUCGGCGUGAUAAGUAUCACUCGCUGAGGACACCCGUAAAAAAGGUGGCCGGGAUUUGCAGAUGAACCGCUUCUAAUAGUCCAUUGAAUUGGACAACAUACUUUAUGAUCUGAUCUCAAAUCAGGUAGGACUACCCGCUGAACUUAAGCAUAUCAAUAAGCGGAGGA
This 408-nucleotide unclassified non-coding RNA is filed under the name soil metagenome. Its description in RNAcentral is "partial contains 5.8S ribosomal RNA, internal transcribed spacer 2, and large subunit ribosomal RNA". The stretch from base 1 to 120 matches the Rfam family "5.8S ribosomal RNA", at positions 35 to 154 of the family's 154-position model. The record is from RNAcentral.